GAUGAACGCUGGCGGCGUGCCUAACACAUGCAAGUCGAGCGAACAGACGAGGAGUUUGCUCCUUUGACGUUAGCGGCGGACGGGUGAGUAACACGUGGAUAACCUACCUAUAAGACUGGGAUAACCUCGGGACACCGGCGCUAAUACCGGAUAAUAUAUUGAACCGCAGGGUUCAAUAGAGAAAGACGGUUUUGCUGUCUCUUAUAGCUGGAUCCGCGCCGCAUUGGCUGGUUGGUAAGGUAACGGCCUAUCAAGGCUACGAUGCGUAGCCGACCUGAGAGGGUGAUCGGCCACACUGGAACUGAGACACGGUCCAGACGCCUACGGGAGGCAGCAGUAGGGUAUCUUCCGCAGUGGGCGAAAGCAUGACAGAGCAAGGCCGCGUGAGAGAUGAAGGUCUUCCGAUCGUAAUACUCUCUUAUUGGGGGAGAACAAAUGUGGAAGUAGAUGUGCCCGUCGUGACGGUAACGAGUCAGAAAGCCACGGCUAACUACGUG
Molecule: ribosomal RNA, 497 nt
Filed under: uncultured bacterium
Lineage: Bacteria
Description: partial 16S ribosomal RNA
Rfam family: Bacterial small subunit ribosomal RNA
Source: RNAcentral